CUUGUACACACCGCCCGUCACACCACGAGAGUUUGUAACACCCGAAGUCGGUGAGGUAACCCUUUUGGGAGCCAGCCGCCUAAGGUGGGACAGAUAAUUGGGGUGAAGUCGUAACAAGGUAGCCGUAUCGGAAGGUGCGGCUGGAUCACCUCCUUUCUAAGGAAACUAACGGAAACCCACACAUUCGUACUUACUUUGUUUAGUUUUGAGAGGUCUAAUCUUCUCAAUCUUUUUAAUCGAAACACGUUGUUCUUUGAAAACUGGAUAAAGUUAAAAAUUGUCAUUCAAGUAAGAAACCAGAAAGACACCGAAAUGUUUUAAAAUGAGUUUUUUUAAGGUUCUCAUCGUAAGAUGAGGUUUAAAAUUAACGCUAACCAUAGGUUAAGUUAAUAAGGGCGCACGGUGAAUGCCUUGGCACUAGGAGCCGAUGAAGGACGGGACUAACGCCGAUAUGCUUUGGGGA
RNAcentral lists this unclassified non-coding RNA (463 nucleotides) under bacterium GI930. Its description in RNAcentral is "partial contains 16S ribosomal RNA, 16S-23S ribosomal RNA intergenic spacer, and 23S ribosomal RNA". The stretch from base 1 to 156 matches the Rfam family "Bacterial small subunit ribosomal RNA", at positions 1380 to 1533 of the family's 1533-position model. The record is from RNAcentral.